UGGCGAACGGGUGAGUAACACGUGAGUAACCUGCCCUUAACUCUGGGAUAAGCCUUGGAAACGGGGUCUAAUACUGGAUAUUGACUUUACCUCGCAUGGGGUUUUGUUGAAAGAUUUAUUGGUUUUGGAUGGACUCGCGGCCUAUCAGCUUGUUGGUGAGGUAAUGGCUCACCAAGGCGACGACGGGUAGCCGGCCUGAGAGGGUGACCGGCCACACUGGGACUGAGACACGGCCCAGACUCCUACGGGAGGCAGCAGUGGGGAAUAUUGCACAAUGGGCGAAAGCCUGAUGCAGCGACGCCGCGUGAGGGAUGACGGCCUUCGGGUUGUAAACCUCUUUCAGUAGGGAACAAGGCCAGCAUUUUUGUUGGUUGAGGGUACUUGCAGAAGAAGCGCCGGCUAACUACGUGCCAGCAGCCGCGGUAAUACGUAGGGCGCAAGCGUUAUCCGGAAUUAUUGGGCGUAAAGAGCUCGUAGGCGGUUUGUCGCGUCUGCCGUGAAAGUCCGGGGCUCAACUCCGGAUCUGCGGUGGGUACGGGCAGACUAGAGUGAUGUAGGGGAGACUGGAAUUCCUGGUGUAGCGGUGAAAUGCGCAGAUAUCAGGAGGAACACCGAUGGCGAAGGCAGGUCUCUGGGCAUUAACUGACGCUGAGGAGCGAAAGC
Molecule: ribosomal RNA, 663 nt
Filed under: Arthrobacter sp. N4_98_9
Lineage: Bacteria; Bacillati; Actinomycetota; Actinomycetes; Micrococcales; Micrococcaceae
Description: bacterial SSU rRNA
Rfam family: Bacterial small subunit ribosomal RNA
Source: RNAcentral